UCUAAUCUAUAUAUCCAUAAUAUGAUUACGCCAAUUUUUAAUUUCGGUUGCGCAUGAGUUUAUUACCAUGGAUAAGCUACUAAAAUUAUGAAAUCAAGCAACAAACAACAUGUACAAGCGUCACAAACAUAUAACAAAUACAGUUUUAUCCAACGGUUUCGGUUUACGAAUAUUACAUCACGCCAGUGGUUGAAUUUUGUUUUGCUAAUUUAUAAUAGCUUAUUGGGUUCGAACCUGCUACAUAUUGAAUUAUAAUCGAAGUAUUGACCACUAGACCAGAACACUAGGAC
Non-coding RNA from Cinara cedri, 290 nucleotides. The record is from the annotation of a GenBank genome assembly. NCBI's taxonomy places the organism in Eukaryota, Metazoa, Arthropoda, Insecta, Hemiptera, Aphididae.